UACGAAGGGGGCUAGCGUUGUUCGGAGUUACUGGGCGUAAAGGGCGCGUAGGCGGCACACCAAGUCAGGCGUGAAAGCCCUGGGCUCAACCCGGGAAUUGCGCUUGAGACUGGUGUGCUUGAGUACGGGAGAGGAUAGUGGAAUUCCCAGUGUAGAGGUGAAAUUCGUAGAUAUUGGGAAGAACACCGGUGGCGAAGGCGGCUAUCUGGACCGUAACUGACGCUGAGGCGCGAAAGCGUGGGGAGCAAACAGG
Molecule: ribosomal RNA, 253 nt
Filed under: uncultured bacterium
Lineage: Bacteria
Description: partial 16S ribosomal RNA
Rfam family: Bacterial small subunit ribosomal RNA
Source: RNAcentral